Molecule: ribosomal RNA, 278 nt
Filed under: uncultured prokaryote
Description: partial 16S ribosomal RNA
Rfam family: Bacterial small subunit ribosomal RNA
Source: RNAcentral
GUACGUAGGGGGCUAGCGUUAUCCGGAAUUACUGGGCGUAAAGGGUGCGUAGGUGGUUUCUUAAGUCAGAGGUGAAAGGCUACGGCUCAACCGUAGUAAGCCUUUGAAACUGGGAAACUUGAGUGCAGGAGAGGGAGAGUGGAAUUCCUAGUGUAGCGGUGAAAUGCGUAGAUAUUAGGAGGAACACCGAUGGCGAAGGCAGCCCCUGGGCCUGUACUGACGCUCAUGCACGAAAGCGUGGGGAGCAAACAGGAUUAGAUACCCGUGUAGUCCCUGAG